GAUCGGGUCCAUUGUCACAAGUCAAGGAACAGCUGAGGGUGCUGGGGCUGUUGAACCUGGAGAAAAGGAGGCUCAGCCGGGAUCUUAACACUGUCUAGAACCACCUGAAAGGAGGCUAUGGCCAGGCAUUAAAGAUUCACCACAAGAGGAAGGGAGAAAAAGCAGGUUCUGAUGGAUUUAAUGAGAGUGUGACAUUCAGGAUGCAUCAUUCAUAUUCUUUGCCCAUUAAUCCUCUGCACAGCACCAUAAGUGUGCAUGAUGCUGUCAAGUUUUAGGAAAUACAGCUUCUGCUCUGUGGGUUGAGUGAACAUAAGGUAAUACAUGAAGAAAGGGAGAAAAGCAAAGGACCAUGAAAACAAGGAAGGCCUAUACUUUUGUCACAUGAACAGUCUGCAGAAGAAACUAAUUCCCUUGGCUAAUGAUGGAGGGAUUGUAGAAUGAUGACCUCAGACAUCUCAUUUUCGACCUCUGAGUUAGAAGAUCAAUCCCAUCCCCUGGAGAAGCAAGAUCAACCAAAAGGAUUGUACAAUACAACUACUUCUUUCUGCCCACCUGCCCUGGGGGAAGUCCCCUGUGGCUCCUGCUUGUUGGCACUGGUGUCUUGCAACAAUCAGAGGUUUCCAGAGGAUGUGGAACUACUUUGUUCCCUAUCUAUUAAGCAUGACUAUAAAAGGCCAAGUCCCCAGUGCUGCCAGUUCAGUGAAACUGAAAGGUAGUAAAUUCAAAUCUCAUAAACAAAAAGCAUUUUAUAUACAGCAUGCAUAUAAAGAAUUUACUACUACAGACUGUCACAGAGGCCGUGGUUUUAAGAAGGCAUAUGACAUUUUCAAAGAUAACAAAAUAUCUAGAGUAAAUUCAAGAGAGGAGAAAUCUAGAAGGCGCAUAAGUGCUUCUUCAUCUUACACAAUCUCUUAAUGAUGGAUGAGACCUUUUUGGGGAUUAUUUUCUCUGUUGUAACUUGUCUUGGUCACCAUCAGACAGGAGUUUCUAGACCAUAAAUCUGAACAAAUAUAGCAGUUUCCUUGUUGCUCACUUACACCUGAGAGAGUCUGCUGACCAUAAAGUACACCAAGGGUUUGAUCUAAAGCACAUCAUCCAUCACUGAUGCAGUAAAGCUGCAUCCAUUCUGUGAGGCUCUGAAAAAUUGCCCAAUGGGCAGUUGGUUUGCAGGGCAGAGAUGUGUACUCUUGGGUAAUGUGGCAUUGGUGUACAAGGCGCUGCAUUCAUUGCUCCACUCUCAUAUGCCUAAAAGAAUCCCAGAUUGUGUGAUUCACACACCUCCUGCUCUUCCUUUUAAUUCUUUGCUCAAAAUCCAGUGCAAACUUCCUCUCUCAUCCUGACUAUUUAUAAGUAUACAUAGAAACAAAUGUUUUGUAAAGUUGUAAGAGACAUUCUUCUUUAU
Molecule: long non-coding RNA, 1402 nt
Organism: Ficedula albicollis (Collared flycatcher)
Lineage: Eukaryota; Metazoa; Chordata; Aves; Passeriformes; Muscicapidae
Exons: 4
Source: RefSeq, a predicted model, not a curated record